CAGCACCUCAAGUGGUCAGGAUGAUUAUUGGGCCUAAAGCAUCCGUAGCCGGCUCUGUAAGUUUUCGGUUAAAUCUGUACGCUCAACGUACAGGCUGCCGGGAAUACUGCAGAGCUAGGGAGUGGGAGAGGUAGACGGUACUCGGUAGGUAGGGGUAAAAUCCUUUGAUCUAUUGAUGACCACCUGUGGCGAAGGCGGUCUACCAGAACACGUCCGACGGUGAGGGAUGAAAGCUGGGGGAGCAAACCGGAUUAGAUACCCGAGUAGUCC
RNAcentral lists this ribosomal RNA (270 nucleotides) under uncultured archaeon. RNAcentral describes it as "partial 16S ribosomal RNA". It matches the Rfam family "Archaeal small subunit ribosomal RNA", at positions 477 to 747 of the family's 1478-position model. The record is from RNAcentral.